This 255-nucleotide ribosomal RNA is filed under the name uncultured bacterium. RNAcentral's name for it is "partial 16S ribosomal RNA". It matches the Rfam family "Bacterial small subunit ribosomal RNA", at positions 524 to 776 of the family's 1533-position model. The record is from RNAcentral.
UACGUAGGUGGCAAGCGUUGUCCGGAAUUAUUGGGCGUAAAGCGCGCGCAGGCGGUCCUUUAAGUCUGAUGUGAAAAGCCCACGGCUCAACCGUGGAAGGUCAUUGGAAACUGGAGGACUUGAGUACAGAAGAGGAAAAGCGGAAUUCCACGUGUAGCGGUGAAAUGCGUAGAGAUGUGGAGGAACACCAGUGGCGAAGGCGGCUUUCUGGUCUGUAACUGACGCUGAGGCGCGAAAGCGUGGGGAGCAAACAGG